GCAUUUAAAUUGUUGUAUGUGGAGUGUACAGGACUGCGGAUAUCAAACUCUCAAUGUGUACUGCAAAUUCCGUCCUCCCCAGCCAACAUUAACAUUUCAGGGGUCAUUGGCUGCUUAUAACUGAGUAGGACUUUGUCUCAACUUCUUCCCUACUUUGUGUGCUUAGUCAUAAAAGAAAAGGAUGAAGAAGUGUUUCAUCAAUAAGGAAUAACAAGUUAAAAAGUAUUUUAUUAAAAAUGAAAACAUUAACAAUCAAAUUAUGAAGGUCUUGAAAAGGAGAUCUCAGCUGUAAAACGUUCUCUUCAAACAUGAAAGUGAGUAUUAAAAUAGCAACUAAUUCAGAAUAAGCAAGGAGAAAUGAAACAUUGGAACUAAAUGUACAUAAGAGUUUUGAUUAUAAGCAAUAGCAAAACCCAAUUACCUUUUUGUUUUAGUUAAUAUUUGCCUUAUUUGCAUCUGUCCUGAAAAAAUCCAAAUUUUAAUUAUUUUUAUUUUUAUUGCUUUAAGUUUUAUGGAAACUAACAAAAGAGGCAAAGAAAUUGGAGCCAUCACAAUAGGUUUUAGAGUCAUCCAAAUGACUCAAAUAGUUACCAGCAUUUACUCUAAUUUAAACCAGAGCUAAAGAAACCUCAGAAUCUUUAAGGUCUGCAUGUCCCCCUAAGCCACUCAUUUGGGGUGGGGGGCAAAACUCACUCUGAUGCUUCCUGGAAAUAGCAAUAUUGGUUUUCUCCCAAAAAUACAAAUAAAUUACUCCUAAUUAGAAUUAAGGAGAAAAAGAGUUUUCUCCCAGAGCCAGGAAAAUACAGAAAUCCCAUUCAUUAUAUACUUUUAUCUUCACCUACUUCAGCCUUUACUUUCUCAAAAGCACAGGCUGUUGCUAAUGUGGCCAUCUCUAAAUAAAAUAUUAACGGUAUUCAUUGAUAAACUUGAGAUAGUAUGGUCUUAUUCAUAAGUAACAAAACUAGAAUUACAGUAGCAGUUUAAUAUACUAAACCAAAAAAGAUCUUAAUUUUGUUCUCAGCUUAAUUUUCUUAGUUUAUUCAAGAAAGUUUACAUUUUCUGGUAUGGGGAAACGCACUGAUCAUGACAAAUCAACAUAAUUGUCUUUUUUGAUACAGUGACAAUUUAAAUAACUAGAAACAGACAGUGGACAGUUUAAGUUAUAUUCAACAAAGUCUCCCAUAAAAUGCUAGAAGAGGGCAUGGCAAAAGAUGAACCGGACAAUCAUAUCAUUGGAUGAAUAUUGAGUUGAACUAAUAUACUCAGCAAAUCACGUUAAGUUGGAAAGAACUGAGUGGUUACACAAGGACUCAAUUCUAGGCUUUGUGCCCCUGAAGAUAUAACUUGAAGGGUUAAAAAUAAAACCAAACUGUACAUGUCACAAAGGCAAAAGGGAAAAUAAACAUAUUAGAGGACAAUAUCAAGAUUCAUGAGAUAGUAAAUUAUCAAACUGGAAUAAAUGGGUAGAAACCAGCAAGAUAAAUUUCAACAGUGACAAAUGCCAAGUCUUAUAUUUGGGUAGGAAAAAUUAAAUGCAUAGUUAAGAAUUACAGGGCUUGGCAGCACUACAUGCAAAAAGAUUGUGAGUGUUUUGAUAGAUUAUAUGAUGAAUAUAGGCACUAGCAUAUAACUGCAAAAAAGGGCAAAUGCAAUCCUAGACUCUACCAAAAGAAGUCAUUGCUUUUCUCUAUUUUACAUUGAUUUUGAUCUCAUCUGGAAUAUUGCAUCCAGUUCUAGGCACAUAGAAAGGAUAGUGAUAAACAAAUGUAUGUCCAAGGAAUAGCAAGGAAGGUAAGGAGGCAUUUAUGAGGAAUAACUGGAAGCUGCUUACCCUGGAGAAGAUUUCGGGCAUCUAUCAAGUCAGGUACUCAACUCACAAUAAUUGGGAUUGGAAUUUCCUUUAGUAAAUGACACAGCACAUUUACUAAGUCAUAAAGCACAAUUGCAUCACUUAGCAAUGGCAAUCCCUGUAUUUCUGGUUGCCAUCAUUAACUAGACCAAUUGUUAGAUGAGGCAACUUCCUGCCCGAUUUCCCCAACCAAAGUCAAUGGGAAAAUCACUACAAGGGUUCCAGGUAGAAGGGAUUGCGCAUGGUAGUGUGGGGGAGGAUUAAGAAAGGUGUGCAAGAGGCACAGCACAGCAUGAGAGUGGAUCAGGAGGAGUACAAGAGAGAUGCUGUGCAGGUCAAGGAGGAUUAGGGAGGGUGUACAAGAGCAGAAGUAAAUUGCUAACAACUUCAAUUGAAGGUUGUGUUGUGAGAAAACAAACAGGCAAUCCUUCCUUCCCGAUGUAAAAGUAAAAUUAUAUAUCUUGUUAUUUUAGGUUGUCUCCGAUAUUUGCAUCUGACUGUGUGAAGUCCACUCUUAAGUUUUGCACCAUCUUUAAACCAAUUGAGCUUCAGACAAUACUUAUUUGAAUCAGCGCUAAAUCGUCCUUUGAAAUGUAUGGCUGUGAAAGUUGGACCAUAAGGAAGUCUGAGCACCAAAGAACUGAGGCUUUUGAAUUGAGAAGACUCAUGUGAGUCCCUUGGACUGCAAGGCAAUCAAACCGGUCCUGAAGAUGAUACUCAAAUACUUU
Long non-coding RNA from Thamnophis elegans (Western terrestrial garter snake), 2577 nucleotides. RefSeq lists it as uncharacterized. The record is from RefSeq and is a predicted model, not a curated record. The transcript has 3 exons. NCBI's taxonomy places the organism in Eukaryota, Metazoa, Chordata, Lepidosauria, Squamata, Natricidae.